GGGGUUAUAACUCAAUGGUAGAGUAUCUGUUUUGCAUACAGAAAGUUAGGGGUUCGAAUCCCCUUAACUCCA
This 72-nucleotide transfer RNA is filed under the name endosymbiont of Pachyrhynchus infernalis. It matches the Rfam family "tRNA". From Rfam's summary of the family: Transfer RNA (tRNA) molecules are approximately 80 nucleotides in length. Lineage: Bacteria; Pseudomonadati; Pseudomonadota; Gammaproteobacteria. The record is from Rfam by way of RNAcentral.